Molecule: ribosomal RNA, 676 nt
Filed under: uncultured bacterium
Lineage: Bacteria
Description: bacterial SSU rRNA
Rfam family: Bacterial small subunit ribosomal RNA
Source: RNAcentral
GAAACGACUGCUAAUACCGCAUAAGCCCACGGGUCGGCAUCGACUAGAGGGAAAAGGAGCAAUCCGCUUUGAGAUGGCCUCGCGUCCGAUUAGCUAGUUGGUGAGGUAACGGCCCACCAAGGCAACGAUCGGUAGCCGGACUGAGAGGUUGAACGGCCACAUUGGGACUGAGACACGGCCCAGACUCCUACGGGAGGCAGCAGUGGGGAAUAUUGCACAAUGGGGGAAACCCUGAUGCAGCGACGCCGCGUGGAGGAAGAAGGUCUUCGGAUUGUAAACUCCUGUUGUUGAGGAAGAUAAUGACGGUACUCAACAAGGAAGUGACGGCUAACUACGUGCCAGCAGCCGCGGUAAAACGUAGGUCACAAGCGUUGUCCGGAAUUACUGGGUGUAAAGGGAGCGCAGGCGGGAAGACAAGUUGGAAGUGAAAUCCAUGGGCUCAACCCAUGAACUGCUUUCAAAACUGUUUUUCUUGAGUAGUGCAGAGGUAGGCGGAAUUCCCGGUGUAGCGGUGGAAUGCGUAGAUAUCGGGAGGAACACCAGUGGCGAAGGCGGCCUACUGGGCACCAACUGACGCUGAGGCUCGAAAGUGUGGGUAGCAAACAGGAUUAGAUACCCUGGUAGUCCACACCGUAAACGAUGAUUACUAGGUGUUGGAGGAUUGACCCCUUCAGUG